Long non-coding RNA from Lacerta agilis (Sand lizard), 235 nucleotides. RefSeq lists it as uncharacterized. The record is from RefSeq and is a predicted model, not a curated record. The transcript has 3 exons. Lineage: Eukaryota; Metazoa; Chordata; Lepidosauria; Squamata; Lacertidae.
CUCCGUUGGACACCAGAGAGAGGCCACUGGGUGACAGAAUGAUGCCAGCAAGACCUCCUUAUUCACCUUUUCAUGGGGGCAGAAGGGAAGCAGCGGCUGUGGAACCAGAUCAGGGUCCAGUGUGCUUUGAAGAUGUCACUGUUCAUUUCACAGACGAGGAGUGGGCGUUGCUGGAUCCUGACCAGAGAGCUCUACAUAAGGACAUCAUGGCGGAGAAUCAUGGGAUCGUGGCCUC